RNAcentral lists this ribosomal RNA (254 nucleotides) under uncultured bacterium. RNAcentral describes it as "partial 16S ribosomal RNA". It matches the Rfam family "Bacterial small subunit ribosomal RNA", at positions 524 to 776 of the family's 1533-position model. The record is from RNAcentral.
UACGUAGGGGGCAAGCGUUGUCCGGAUUUAUUGGGCGUAAAAGGCUUGUAGGUGGCCACGCCAAGUCGGAUGUGAAAUCUCCCGGCUCAACUGGGAGGGGUCAUUCGAUACUGGCGGGCUCGAGGCCGGUAGGGGGAAGUGGAAUUCCCGGUGAAGUGGUGGAAUGCGUAGAUAUCGGGAGGAACACCAGUGGCGAAGGCGGCUUCCUGGACCGGUUCUGACACUGAGGAGCGAAAGCGUGGGGAGCGAUCCGG